RNAcentral lists this ribosomal RNA (291 nucleotides) under uncultured bacterium. Its description in RNAcentral is "partial 16S ribosomal RNA". It matches the Rfam family "Bacterial small subunit ribosomal RNA", at positions 505 to 796 of the family's 1533-position model. The record is from RNAcentral.
GUGCCAGCAGCGCGGUAAUACGGAGGAUCCAAGCGUUAUCCGGAAUCAUUGGGUUUAAAGGGUCCGUAGGCGGGUUUAUAAGUCAGUGGUGAAAGUCUGCAGCUUAACUGUAGAACUGCCAUUGAUACUGUAGACCUUGAAUUAUUAUGAAGUGGUUAGAAUAUGUAGUGUAGCGGUGAAAUGCAUAGAUAUUACAUAGAAUACCGAUUGCGAAGGCAGAUCACUAAUAAUAUAUUGACGCUGAUGGACGAAAGCGUAGGUAGCGAACAGGAUUAGAUACCCCAGUAGUCC